This 966-nucleotide ribosomal RNA is filed under the name Triticum aestivum (bread wheat). RNAcentral's name for it is "partial small subunit ribosomal RNA". The record is from RNAcentral. Lineage: Eukaryota; Viridiplantae; Streptophyta; Magnoliopsida; Poales; Poaceae.
AUGGCGGCGGCGCCGGCGGCGGGAGGGCAGGGAGGCGGCAUGGACGCCGCGCUCCUCGACGACAUCAUCCGCCGUCUGCUCGAGGUGCGGACGGCGCGCCCCGGCAAGCAGGUGCAGCUCUCCGAGUCGGAGAUCCGCCAGCUCUGCACCGCCUCCCGCGACAUCUUCCUCACCCAGCCCAACCUCCUCGAGCUCGAGGCGCCCAUCAAGAUCUGCGGUGAUAUCCAUGGUCAGUACAGUGAUCUUUUAAGGCUAUUUGAGUAUGGAGGUUUUCCCCCGGAAGCCAACUAUCUAUUCUUAGGCGAUUAUGUUGAUCGAGGCAAACAGAGUCUGGAGACUAUAUGCCUCCUCCUUGCAUACAAAAUCAAGUACCCUGAGAACUUUUUUCUCCUGAGAGGCAACCAUGAGUGUGCUUCAAUAAACAGAAUAUAUGGAUUUUAUGAUGAAUGCAAGCGUCGCUUCAAUGUGCGGCUAUGGAAGGUCUUCACCGACUGUUUUAACUGUCUCCCUGUGGCCGCUCUAAUUGAUGAUAAAAUAUUAUGCAUGCAUGGUGGCCUUUCUCCUGAUCUGGGACACCUAGAUGAGAUAAAAAACUUGCCCCGUCCUACCGAUGUGCCAGAUACAGGUCUACUAUGCGAUCUUCUUUGGUCUGAUCCAGGAAAAGAUGUCCAAGGGUGGGGCAUGAAUGAUAGGGGCGUUUCAUUCACAUUUGGUCAUGACAAAGUUACGGAGUUCCUUCUAAAGCAUGAUCUUGAUCUUAUUUGCCGUGCCCACCAGGUUGUCGAGGAUGGGUAUGAAUUCUUUGCUGACAGACAGCUGGUCACCAUAUUUUCGGCUCCCAACUAUUGUGGUGAAUUUGAUAAUGCUGGAGCAAUGAUGAGUGUUGAUGAAACUUUGAUGUGUUCAUUUCAAAUUCUCAAACCUGCCGAGAGAAAAAUCAAAUUUAUGGCGUCAAACAAAAUGUGA